Molecule: ribosomal RNA, 347 nt
Filed under: uncultured bacterium
Lineage: Bacteria
Description: partial 16S ribosomal RNA
Rfam family: Bacterial small subunit ribosomal RNA
Source: RNAcentral
CCUACGGGUGGCAGCAGUGGGGGAUAUUGCACAAUGGGGGGAACCCUGAUGCAGCGACGCCGCGUGGGUGAAGGAGAGUUUCGGCGCGUAAAGCCCUAUCGGCAGGGAAGAAGGAGGACGGGACCGGACGAAGAAGCCCCGGCGAACUACGUGCCAGCAGCCGCGGUAAGACGUAGGGGGCAAGCGUUAUCCGGAUUUACUGGGUGUAAAGGGGGCGCAGACGGCAGCCCAAGCCAGGAGGGAAAGCCCGGGGCCCAACCCCGGGACUGCACUUGGAACUGCGCGGCUGGAGUGCAGGAGGGGCAGGCGGCAUUCCUGGUGUAGCGGUGAACUGCGUUGAUAUCCGG